UGCCAAGCGUAGCGGCUCCUUGGCUGGAUCACCGUCGCACACCUCACCGGCGUGGUCGGCAAGAUCUGCAUCUCGAUCCUCGCCACUCUCCAUCCUCUUGCAGGUAAUAGGCUUUCCGCCCCCUCUUUUAUCUCCGGCGUUCUCGUGUGCACGGAUUGUGAGCGUGAAGGAAUAUUUCUCUUCUAUUUCAUGGUGCUGCUGUGCUCCUUCUGCUUUCACACUGCACAUAUAUAGAUUCUUCAAAGGAAUUGGAUGCUGAUAAUAUCAACUAAGUUCCCUGAAUGUGAUAUAUAUUCUUCCCUCGCUUUGAAUUGAUUGCCCCAAACAAUAUAUCUCUGGUUGACAGUCAUGGCCUAUUAUUAUUGUUGUUAAUUUACAACACUCUGCGCUGUAUUGUCCAAUCAUGGUCCAAACUUCAACUUGGUUGUGGAUUCAUUGUAUGUACCAUAUGCUGUUCAUAGCUACAAAAUUGCAAUCUCGCGAAAAUGUUCUUGAAUACAGUAAUUUUUUUGUCACAUAACCCAUAUGCUGAUGAUAAAGUUUGUUGUAUGAGCUUGUGGCAUACUGAUCCGACAGGUGGCAGGUAUGCAUUCAGAUGUUGCAGCUCUAAGGAAGGGUAGUAUAUGGCACAUGGCUUCGUGGGUUGUUCAACAAGAAGUGUUUUGGGCAUAUUCGAAAGGCAAUCUUGUGAAAAUUAUACAUCGAUUUUCUUAUUCCGUCAUCAGCUUCUAUUGAUAUGAGCGAUACAAAAAGUUCAGCACUGAAUUUUAGUAUGUUAACUUGCAAGAUUUCUCACGACUAUGUUUUUUUGUUAUAGGUUUAUAAAUUUCGAAAUAUAGUUGCAGCUUCACGGAAUGGACGGCCCAAAUUAUGUUAGUGUCUAUAUGUUUACUUGGUGGUGGUCUAGCGUGAGUGACACCUGCAUCUGUAACUUACCCAUUGGAUGUUCUUCGAAAUCACCUGACAACACAGAAAACCACUAGGUAUUACAAGGGCAUCUUUCACACGUUGUCUACAAUUUGUAGAGAAGAGAAUAGUAGAGGAUUGUAUAAAGGCCUUUGGUCCACCUUAUUGGGAGUUGGACCUGAUAUAUCAAUCAACGUUUAUGUAUAUGAAUCCCUGAGGUCUCAUUGGAAAAUGGAAAGUUGAAUGUCAAACUGUGCGACCAAUGAUUUGAUAUGGUUAAUUCCAGUUGGGUGUGUUAACCUACAGUAAUCAAUCAAGUCAACAAAUAUAACAAUGAUACUUUGUCUUCUGAUUUUUGGUGAUGAUUUUUUUUGUGACUGAACUAACAGGAGUUGAAGCAUGUGUUCUUAUUUUUUAUAUGACUAGAUGCAUAUGAACUGAAGCUCCAUAAUUUUCUUUUCAAGUCGACAUUGGUGGCAACCAAUACAAUUAGCGUUAUUUACAACCAAUGAAGUCUUAUAAUUUUCUUUCUUAGAAAUAUACAGUGACGCUGACUAUCAUUUAGUAGCUCUACAGGCACUAGCCAAAAACAAUAAUGUUUAUUUAUUUAACCACCAAAUAGAACAAUAGGUUAUUCUGCAUUGUGGGUACACAAAUCACAACACUAUAUUUCAGCUGUAGAAAUCUGUGUGGAUGCCUGCUGAUAUUUUAAGCCUACAUAUUGCCGAUUUGGUUUGAGUAAUGCUUGAAGCAUAAUUUACUUCCUAAUGUGCAAAUAGCAGUAUCAUUUUUUGUCAAGAAACUGAGAAGACGGAAGAGAGUUGGUGUUGUCAGUGUGGUGAGCCUAUGCGGCAACCACAAGGCUGAAGUCUGCUUUGAUCGUUAUUCAAGAUUUGAGCCUUGGCUCCGGUUUUGAUAGCUCUAUAUCAGUAAGUUUAGUCCAGUAACUAUUUUAAGUAUCUUUACUGUGCAUAGUUGCAUACAUUUUAUUCAUGGAUUAGUCUUGGUAAUAUUAACAUUUGAAAAGCAAUUUUUGUGUGACCAUUUUUUCAUCUUAGUAUCUCCAUCUACCAGCAAAAGUCAACGUGCACAAACCUGUAUUUAACAUGCAACAUGAGAUAGUGUGCAUCGAAACUAUGCUUAUGUUUGUGACAUUCAUGUGGCAUCUCAUGCAGAUAGAUUUUAUUAUCCAUUUCUGUAGCAUGCAAUGUUUAUUUUCUUCUUUUGGUCCAUAAUCCCUCCUAAAAGAAAUAUAAGAGUGUUUAGAUCACUAAAGAAGUGAUCUAAACGCUCUUAUAUUUCUUUACAUAUGGAGUACAUGUCAUGAUUGUUGGAUACACAUGCAGACUUUCAGCGAGUUUUUGUUCUCGGACUUGGGAUCCACAGUCCAAAGUUGAUUGGUGGAUCAAGUGAACUUGGUGCAUCUCCAUUCAAGCUGGAGUACAAUUACCGGCCUGCUUGUUUAGCGCAGUCUCCACAAUCAUACAAGCAAAUGAGCAGCUGGCGACCCAACACACAAAGUUUCUAUCUUCUUAUUUUCUAUACAAGUAGCAGCUGGCGCAGCGGUGGUGUUGAUGAACGACACCCAAUGCAGAGGCGGCAGUUACCAUAGGGAAGAGGUCAAGAACAUCUAGCUCUUGUGGUGUUCCUCCUCAUUAUUGUCAUCGCCAUCAACAGCAACAAUGACGACCGGCUCAUGAGACAGCUACUAGAGAGGGAGCGAGGAAGGGGGAGACAAAUCUUUCAGGUGCUCGGUCAAAAAUCACCUAAGGAAAAUAUGUUGUUCUUCUCUACAAGGGUUGCAUGUGGAAUUUGAGGAGAAUCUGUGCACCAGCAUCCGACUCCUUGAUGUUGCUCUGAUCAUAUUGUGUAAAU
Molecule: long non-coding RNA, 2781 nt
Organism: Triticum aestivum (bread wheat)
Lineage: Eukaryota; Viridiplantae; Streptophyta; Magnoliopsida; Poales; Poaceae
Exons: 5
Source: RefSeq, a predicted model, not a curated record